RNAcentral lists this long non-coding RNA (357 nucleotides) under Rattus norvegicus (Norway rat). RNAcentral's name for it is "long non-coding RNA NONRATT027661". The record is from RNAcentral. Lineage: Eukaryota; Metazoa; Chordata; Mammalia; Rodentia; Muridae.
CUCUCUCUCUCUCUCUCUCUCUCUCUCUCUCUCUCUCUCUCUCUCUCUCUCACUCACUCUCUCUCGUCUGCGUAUCCUUGUCCUGUCCUCUUCUACCCUCACAGUAGGCAGGAGUGGUGUCUGGUGUUCGCUGAACGGAGUCGCCUCUACUGGGCCCGUGAUUUGUGCAGGUGUUCGGAACACAGUUGCCGGGGAUGGCGCCUCCUCUUGUGGAUCUGUCCACCACCACCCUCCCCCCUUCACCCACUACCCACCACCUUCCCUGUGUUGCCUGCUCCACCGUCUUUUUCUUUGGGAUUCCGUGUCUUAACAAUUCAUACUGCUUUCUUCCUUUUAAAAUUCUCUCCUUUCGCAAAA